This 523-nucleotide long non-coding RNA is filed under the name Nicotiana benthamiana. RNAcentral describes it as "long non-coding RNA (NBEN_LNC039832)". The record is from RNAcentral. Lineage: Eukaryota; Viridiplantae; Streptophyta; Magnoliopsida; Solanales; Solanaceae.
GUCCUGUCUGCAUCUUAGAAGAAAAACCGAUUGACGUUGUUCCCUUCUUUUACCCCAAUUUUUCAGAACUCUUAUAUACAAAUUGGGGAGAUCUAAGGGGGAAAUCAGGCGGGAUACAUAAGCUUUUUGUCGAAGAGACGGAAAUCUUGUGCCUAGAAUUGCAACAAUUGUGUUGAAUCUUUCUCCAGGUACCAUACUUAGAAGAGAGCAAUUCUUUUUCUUUCUUCUUCUAUGCCUCUGAAUAUAUGCUUGUUCCCUUUGUGAAUCCCUAAUUGGAUGCUCAUUAACACUAAAACGCUGAUAUUUCGAGGUUCUACAGCAAUCAAGAGAGAGCAAAGAUGAAUUGAAUGGUGACUUUAGGGAAGAAAUUGACGAAAAAUAUUCACGAUCACAGACUUGUUUGAAUUUGAAUUUGAAUUUGAAUUCUGCAUAUGGGGUUGUGUAGUUAAGCAAAUGUUAUUGUUGCCUUUGACCAAAAGUUGUUUGCUGAAAUGUCUUGCUUGGCAUUUUAAUCCUCUGUAGG